This 184-nucleotide non-coding RNA is filed under the name Gammaproteobacteria bacterium. RNAcentral's name for it is "6S RNA". It matches the Rfam family "6S / SsrS RNA". From Rfam's summary of the family: E. coli 6S RNA was the first non coding RNA to be sequenced, but its function was unknown until recently. Lineage: Bacteria; Pseudomonadati; Pseudomonadota; Gammaproteobacteria. The record is from RNAcentral.
AUACCUCUGCGGAACAGGUGAGCUGCUAAGUACAUACCUUGAGCCUAUUACUUUACCCAGGGAACAUACUGUAAAUAUGUUGUUGUGCAGCCCCAGAAUAUGGGAAGCCUGAUACAUCUUUCAGUUCUCCCACCUGAACCUCUGGUUCAAGGGCAACAGUAGCCACAGUAAUCGUGGAGUGUAU